UACGGGGGGGGCAAGCGUUGUUCGGAAUCACUGGGCGUAAAGGGUGCGUAGGCGGGGCUUUAAGUCAGGGGUGAAAUCCUGGAGCUCAACUCCAGAACUGCCUUUGAUACUGAAGAUCUUGAGUUCGGGAGAGGUGAGUGGAACUGCGAGUGUAGAGGUGAAAUUCGUAGAUAUUCGCAAGAACACCAGUGGCGAAGGCGGCUCACUGGCCCGAUACUGACGCUGAGGCACGAAAGCGUGGGGAGCAAACAGG
This 253-nucleotide ribosomal RNA is filed under the name uncultured bacterium. RNAcentral's name for it is "partial 16S ribosomal RNA". It matches the Rfam family "Bacterial small subunit ribosomal RNA", at positions 524 to 776 of the family's 1533-position model. The record is from RNAcentral.